This is a small nucleolar RNA of Gossypium arboreum, 107 nucleotides long. It matches the Rfam family "Plant small nucleolar RNA R71". From Rfam's summary of the family: R71 is a member of the C/D box family of snoRNAs containing the C (UGAUGA) and D (CUGA) box motifs. Lineage: Eukaryota; Viridiplantae; Streptophyta; Magnoliopsida; Malvales; Malvaceae. The record is from Rfam.
AACCCAUGGUGAGGGCAGCUUCUCAGUAAGUCCUUGUAUCACUGCCAUGCAUUGUAGUGUGUUUCUGAAUCCAUCUGCAUAAAAGAAGAGAUAUCAUUACAUAAUUU